RNAcentral lists this ribosomal RNA (500 nucleotides) under uncultured bacterium. RNAcentral describes it as "partial 16S ribosomal RNA". It matches the Rfam family "Bacterial small subunit ribosomal RNA", at positions 30 to 523 of the family's 1533-position model. The record is from RNAcentral.
AUUGAACGCUAGCGGGAUGCCUUACACAUGCAAGUCGAACGGCAGCGCGGACUUCGGUCUGGCGGCGAGUGGCGAACGGGUGAGUAAUGUAUCGGAACGUGCCCAGUAGCGGGGGAUAACUACUCGAAAGAGUAGCUAAUACCGCAUACGCCCUACGGGGGAAAGGGGGGGAUCGCAAGACCUCUCACUAUUGGAGCGGCCGAUAUCGGAUUAGCUAGUUGGUGAGGUAAAGGCUCACCAAGGCGACGAUCCGUAGCUGGUUUGAGAGGACGACCAGCAAAACUGGGCGUGAGACCCGGCCCAGACUCCUACGGGAGGCAGGAGUGGGGAAUUUUGGACAAUGGGGGAAACCCUGAUCCAGCCAUUCCGCGUGUGCGAUGAAGGCCUUCGGGCUGUAAAGCACUUUUGGCAGGAAAGAAAUCGCAUCAAGUAAUACUUGGUGUGGAUGACGGUACCUGCAGAAUAAGCACCGGCUAACUACGUGCCAGCCGCCGCCGUAA